GAGCGAUUUGAGGACCUU
Molecule: non-coding RNA, 18 nt
Filed under: Arabidopsis thaliana (thale cress)
Lineage: Eukaryota; Viridiplantae; Streptophyta; Magnoliopsida; Brassicales; Brassicaceae
Source: RNAcentral